This 495-nucleotide ribosomal RNA is filed under the name uncultured bacterium. RNAcentral describes it as "partial 16S ribosomal RNA". It matches the Rfam family "Bacterial small subunit ribosomal RNA", at positions 31 to 523 of the family's 1533-position model. The record is from RNAcentral.
AUAGAACGCUGGCGGCAGGCCUAACACGUGCAAGUCGGGCGCGAAAGUCUUCGGAUGAGUAGAGCGGCGGACGGGUGAGUAACGCGUAGGAAUCUACCUGGUAGUGGGGGAUAACUCGGGAAAACUCGAGCUAAUACCGCAUACGUCCUGAGGGGGAAAGCGGGGGAUCGCAAGACCUCGUGCUAUCAGAUGAGCCUGCGUAGGAUUAGCUAGUUGGUAGGGUAAAGGCCUACCAAGGCGACGAUCCUUAGCUGGUCUGAGAGGAUGAUCAGCCACACUGGGACUGAGACACGGCCCAGACUCCUACGGGAGGCAGCAGUGGGGAAUAUUGGACAAUGGGGGCAACCCUGAUCCAGCCAUGCCGCGUGUGUGAAGAAGGCCUUCGGGUUGUAAAGCACUUUCAGCGGGGAGGAAGGCGUCAUGACUAAUAUUCGUGGCGAUUGACGUUACCCGCAGAAGAAGCACCGGCUAACUCCGUGCCAGCAGCCGCAGUAA